RNAcentral lists this ribosomal RNA (438 nucleotides) under uncultured bacterium. Its description in RNAcentral is "partial 16S ribosomal RNA". It matches the Rfam family "Bacterial small subunit ribosomal RNA", at positions 339 to 795 of the family's 1533-position model. The record is from RNAcentral.
CUACGGGGUGCAGCAAUGGGGAAUAUUGCGCAAUGGGCGAAAGCCUGACGCAGCGACGCCGCGUGAGUGAUGACGCCUUUCGGGGUGUAAAGCUCAGUCGAGAGGAAAGAUUAUGACGGUACCUCUAGAGGAAGUCACGGCUAAUUACGUGCCAGCAGCCGCGGUAAUACGUAAGUGGCAAGCGUUAUCCGGAUUUACUGGGCAUAAAGCGCGUGCAGGUGGUAGUUUAAGUCAGAUGUUAAAGAUCACAGCUCAACUGUGGUACGCAUUUGAUACUGAAUUACUAGAGAUCAGGAGAGGAAAGUGGAACUCACGGUGUAGCGGUGAAAUGCGUAGAUAUCGUGAGGAACACCAGUGGCGAAGGCGACUUUCUGGCCUGAAUCUGACGCUGAGACGCGAAAGCGUGGGGAGCGAACGGGAUUAGAUACCCGUGUAGUC